UUAACAUAAGAUACAAUAAUUCCUUAUUACUUAGGACUUUUAUUAUAUAUUUAUUAAAAAUAUCCUUCUAGACUGAAUGAGACAGGACAAUUUAUUAUACAUCACAUUUGAGAAUGCAAACCAAAAGAAUUUAUGUUAAAGAACAUAAUUAUGAGCUUCAUUAGAUUGGAGUGCUACUUCUAAGUUACUUCUAUUCAGCCACCAAUAGCUGCUUGUUUCACAUGGUAUGUCCCUGUGUCAAUAAAAUCUUUAAUGGUUCAAAAUUCAAGAGAAUUUCCCACAGAAUUUGUAAUUCAUUGGUAUCUAAAUCUCCUGAGACUUGAUACUAUUUCACAAAGCUAGCCUACUUGUUUCCCUUCUGUUUAGGUCUGAGUGCUAAACCUUUAUUUUGAUCAACUCUGUUUUUACCUCACUACCACGGUCACAGACUUUGAUCCAAAACAUUGCAGGUUUUUCUGUGAUGUUUAAUAGUUUGGGGUUUUUUUUCUUAUUUUAGUUUAUAGAAAAUACCAUGUAAUAAGUUCUAUCAUCACAUCUUGACCACUUAAAAUGUUACCAAUUCAGUGUUUAAGAGAUGUUAGGAAGUAGAAACAUGGAAUUUGUAUUAUCGAGCCUACUAUUUAUUUCACCACGGAAUUAUGUGGAAAGUAGUUAAGGGAAACCUGAUUCUAACCAGACAAGGUUCCUGUUCUCCCCGCUAGCCCGUUCACCUUACUGGUAGUGGCUCCUCACAGCAUUUGGGUGCACGCAUUGGGUGCAUGGUAACAAUACCGGACAUCUUUCUCGCUCAUUCACUCACUCAUUCCGACCUUCACUCAUUCAUUCACUUGUUCAAUAUUGAUGAGGUGUAAUCUGUGCCAGAAUCUAUUUUAGAUAUUGCAACUGGAACUGAGUGAGGCAGAUAAAACCACCGAUGGGCUCACUUCAGGUUUCUCCAGAGCAGAGAGGUUGGAGGCCAAAUAAGAACUUGUUUACCCCCACCAACUUUUCAUGUCUUGCUACCUGCUAUACCGUCUACAUGAACACAUUAUAGUCAUCUUUAUAAUAAUCCCCUUCUUAGCCAAUUUCAGAGCUAAGGCUGGUGUAUCAAUGUUCCUUAUUACUAAUACAUUACUAUUUCUUUUACAUGUCAAUCAUGUUACUAUGCGCUUUGUAUAUUUAGAUGCUCCAAUUAUAGGUCCACAAAUAUUUAUGAAUGCUACAUCUCUUGACGAUUAUUUCAUGGCUUUGUCUCUUGUAGCCAUUUUUGACUUAAAGUCAGAUUGGUCUCUGUCUCUUUGGGCAACACAUGAGAGACAGUAAUGGAAAAGCAGAGGCGAAACUACUUGCAGAGGUAGGGACUACUUGCCUGUCCUAAAGAGUGCAUAUGACCUGGAGACUCACUGGCAGCUCAAACACAGACAGAUGGUUUCCUUCAUUGAGUCCUGUUUUUCAUGUUCAAUUAUAGACUACAGUCAGUAAAGAGCAUAAAAUAUUACAUUUAUUGCACUCUGCUGGGCUUUUGUAUAGAACCCAUAUAUAAUUAUAUAAAAUUCAAAUUUCAAGCUCCAUAAAUAAAGUUUUAUGGGAAAAUGCAAAGCUUGAAACAUUUACUACCUGGCUCUCUACAGAAAAAAAAAAUUGUCAGGGCCUAACUUGUAGCAUUUAUAUGAAUAUAGCCCAAAUUAUUCAAAACCUGUACCAGAGCAUUUUAAACAAGUGCCUGCAAAUUACGAAGUCUUUGUCAACACUGACAGCCAAGUGUGCAUACACUUGAGAUGUCUCCCUAGGAGUGGCUUAGCACCUCAACACCAUGCAAGCUUGGUCCUUCCACAUCACUCCCUAAGCUGGAAGAAUGAAAGACAACGGCUCCCUCUGAUGCUACUUUCCAUGCUCAGCUUUCCAUAGCAGCCUGCUCAGGGCCUCCAGCAUCUCAGGACAUAUUGGUAUCAGGUGCCCAUACAAGUAACUGUGCUCUGAAGUGUGCUGUCUUUCUUUGAACUGCCUUUGUUAGUCAAGACCUUUCUUGUUCUCUCUUAGAAUAGCAUCUUAAAUUUCCUUUGAGCAUUUUUUUUUUUUGCCACUAUACAUACAAAGGGAUUCCACCUACUUCCACUGAACUGGUUUUGCUUUCUCUAAGCCUGACUAAAAUAAGACUUUGACUGGAUUUCUGAACUAAAGGCCUUAGUUAGCCAUAUGUAUGGAGAGGUCAGCCAUUAGAGUCAUAGUCCCAGUGCAGGACAUUCAAUAAUAUAAGUGGGCGAGGCAGACGGAGAGUGUAAUAAUGUGGAUGUGAAAACAAAUACUGUCAUUUUAUAAGUUUGGCUACAAAUUCUAAAAUAUUGUCCACUCUCAAUUUAAUAUGUCCCUGUUCACAGUUUGAAAAAGAUAGCCUUAAAUUCAGAUGUCGGUUGGAGUUAGAAGCGCAACAUUUAUUUAAAUAGAAGUUGUUGGUCAUUAAGUAUAGAAACAGCCACAAAACACUAAGUAUCUUGGACAGAUUAUUUAUUGCACAUGGCUUUAGAAAACAUAAUGAUUUCACUUGAGUCAGAUGUAGGGCCCUCCAAAUCUCGUGGAUUGUACAAAAGGUACCAUCCUGAUUUGAAAUUCAAAUGUAAGUGCUACUUUUCUCUGAGUUUCAGGAGGAAACUCACUUUCUUUCCAUUACCAUUUAUACAUCAGGUGCCUGCAUUUCAGCGUGCAGUGGAGAGAGCAGGUGGUACAGGGAGCACUUUGAAUGUUAAUUAUUUUUUUCAUUUAUUUCACUGUGAAGAUUUGUUUUUAUAAUCAAGAUGGAAACAAUUAGAGAUCUUGCCGCCUGAGUGUUUCACUACAUUUGUUUUAUGACAUCUGCUUCAAUGAUAAGAAAAGAAAGAAAGAAAGAAAGAGAGAGAGAGAGAGAGAGAGAGAGAGAGAGAGAGGAAGGAAGGAAGGAAGGAAGGAAGGAAGGAAGGAAGGAAGGAAGGAAGGGGGUUGGGGAUUUAGCUCAGUGGUAGAGCGCUUGCCUAGCAAGCACAAGGCCCUGGGUUCGGUCCCCCCCCCCCAAAAAAAAAGGAAAGAAGGAAGAAAAGGGAGGUGAAUCCUUUAACAAUAGGAAGGGUUCAGGUUGACUGUGUGUGGUUGUCUUGUUUCAACGUGAACUGCUGGGGUGAACAGUCCACUGUCUAAUGAUAAACAUGCUCGUGUUAGAACUUAUAUUUUAUUUUAGAAGCAACUCAAUAAAUUUUCAGGUUUGGUAUAGUUCAUUUGCCCCAAUUUUAAUUGAAGUUAUAUUGAAAACAACUGUAGAGAGAUAAAAAAAAAUGGAGGAAGCUAUAUGAUGGGGGGUGUUGUUGUUUUCUCUCCCUCUCUCUAACAGAAUCUCUGUGUAGCCCAAGUUGGUCUCAACUCCUCAAACUGUGGGAGUCAAAGACAGGUUCUACUGUGCUUAGCUUUGUCUAUCUUUUUCCUUAGAGACAUAUUUCACAAAAUUUUGUUUUUGACUUUUAACAUUUAGUUUGCUCCUUAAGUGUUAAUCAUAUUUAAACUUUUCAUGGGUUAUAUAGUUAUAAGAACAGUCCCUCAAACCUGGGUAUGAUAGUACACAUCUUUAAUCCCAGCACUUGGGAGGAAGAGGCAGGUGGAUCUCUGUGAGUUCCUCUACAAAGCACUUGCAGGUCAAUCAGGGCUACAUAAUGAGACCUUGUCUAAAAAAAGAAGAAAAAGUUCAAGAAACAUUCAGGAAUUUGUGGUUCAUCAUAUUUUUUUUAAUUAAUCUACAAUUCAAAGUUUAGGGAGGACUUAUCAAAGGUAUAGUCAAUAUUUCACAUUCUGCCACAUUUCUCUUAUUCAUCCAAUGAACAAAAUACUGUAGAAACCAUUAUACAAUUAUUAAACAAAUUUUUCAAAAAAUCGAGUAAUUAAGAGUACCCUUAAGAGUAUAUGAAAGAAUAUUUUAUCUGCCAAACUCUUGCCUUUUGAAGCGCUAACCAGUAAUUAGACUUUAAGAUUGCUUGACAGUACAGAAAGCUAUCCAAAAUAUAUCUUCCUACUUUAUCACAAUGGAUAGAGUUGACUCAUGAAGAAAAUGUGGGGUAGAGGGAAACACUGAGGAUUCCCAUAAGGAAACCAAAUAAUGGCACUCAGAAGACAUCCAAGCCCUAACACCUGGAACUUGUGACUGUGCUAUACAUUUCCAGGUGCAGUAAUGUUAGCAGUCUUGAGCUGGGCAGAACCUGGUCUGCCUUGGUGAACUCAACAGAAUCACAAGCUUGUGAGAGAGAAGUAGGAGAGAGUCUGAGUAAGGGGAGAAACUACGUGGAUGGAACCUCAGGGGGUUGAGGCUGGUAGCUUUAAAGAUGGAGCGAGGGGGUCAUGAAACAAGAUGUAUAAAUGGCUUCUAUGUACCCGAUCAGGUUAGGAAAUAAGAUCUUUCCUAAAGCCCCCAACACCUUGAAUUUAGCUCUGCAAGACCCGUUUCAAACUCUGGCCUCCUUUAGACCUGUGGUAAAUUGCGGGAAUAAGAGAGUGCAACUGCUAUCUCUCACUGUAGUUUCUCCUAAAUAAAAAGGCCGGGUUGUCUAAAUUGUUAAUUAACUACUAAGAAUUAAUAGAUUCUUCCAGAAAAGUAGUGACCUGUAAGUCUUUAUUUUACUUGGGAAACUGUAAUAUUAAUAUUGUUAAUAAUAUUAUUUUAAUAUUUUAAAUUAAGCAGUGUAUUUAGUAUUAUAACCUUGCUUCUCAAUAUUAGUAUCUGCUGGUUGGAAGGGAUAGCUGAAGUCCAUUUAUUCACUGCAGUCACAAUAAAUGCUAGGAGAAUAUGGAGGAGGAGAAAGACGAAGAAGAAGAAGAGAAAGAAGAGGAGGAAGAGGGGGAGAAAGAAGAAGAGGAGGAGGAAGAGAAAGAGGAGAAGAGGAUGGAGAGGAGGAAAAAGUGGAAGAAGAGGAGGAGGAAGAAGGGGAAGAAGAAGAGGAGGAAGAGAAGGAAAGGCAUUAGAGAAAUUUCAGAAGGCAUGAAAAUAGCAAAAUACAGGAAGGAACAGGAUUGUUUUGGUUGAGAAUAAUAAUGCAUGAAUUUGAUGCUCUUAGAAAUGGGGAACAUACUAACUUAUACUUUCCAAACUCUGUACUUUGUCCCUUGCAGACUUCCUAGUAAUACAAAGCAGGAGUGGAGAGGUGGCCUUCCUUGCUUUCUCAUACAUUAAUGCUACAAUAGCAAUAAGAAUAGCUAGUACAGGGGCUGGAGAGACAGCUCAGCGGUUAAGAGCACUGACUGCUCUUCCAGAGGUCCUGAGUUCGAUUCCCAGCAACCACAUGGUGGCUCACAAACCAUCUGUCAUGGAUCCAAUGCCAUCUUCUGGUGUGCCUGAAAACAGCUACAGUGUACUCACAUACAUAAAAUAAAUAAAUCUUUUAAAAAAAAAAAAGAAUAGCUAGUACAUUCUAUCAGUGUGACAUCUCAAAUAUAGAAGUACAAAAGAAUGCUAGUUGCAGUGUAGAUUUAUAGGCAUUGCUUCCGGGGUUCCAAUAUCACAGGUCUCAGUGGACUUUGGCAUCAACUCUUAAGACACCAUGAGAAAACUGGUGGUCUUGUCUGGGCUUAAAAUUAGCGCUGCUACUCUAGUACUUUGCAUCAAAAUCCAGAACAACGACUAAAGAAAACAUAUCCAGCGUAUUUAUACUCUCUCUACUUUCAUCUCUUGAUUGGUGGGUGAGCUUUUGGACAAAACCGAGAUUGAUGGAGGGGAGAAUCACAAAGUAGCCCCCUCAGUCACUCAGGUUGCACUUCCAACAUUGUUCAACAAACACACAAAUAUGGGUCCAGCAUUCAUUUGUACAAGACACCCAGCGUAAAGAAGGUGGAAAAUCGACAUAAGGACAGAUAUACAAGAAGUCAAAGAAGGGGAAACAUCUGUCAACCGUAGCUCUCAACAUGUGCCUCAGGAAUCAGCAAAUCAUAGCAUCCGCAGUGUCUGGGACUCACUGGAAAUGCAAAUUCCUCAUCUGUACCCCAAGUAGAUUCCUUCUGUAACCAUGGCUUGUGGUUUUGUUUCGGAGGCCAUUAAGAUGUCACUAAACCUUGUAUGCAUGUCCAAAAUUAUAUCUGGGAAAUUAUAUUUCCAUACCCUGUAGACAAGACAGUAAAAGCAGAAAACGCGAAAAGCUGAGGCAUGAGGCUCGUAGUCCAUACUUUCCUGGCAACAGGAAUUCCAAUUCCCGCAGAUGAGUCCCCGCAUUAAGAAGCAAAGCUUCCGGGGCUGGGGAUUUAGCUCAGUGGUAGAGCGCUUACCUAGGAAGCUCAAGGCCCUGGGUUCGGUCCCCAGCUCCGAAAAAAAAGAACCAAAAAAAAAAAAAAAAAAAAGAAGCAAAACUUCCAGCUGAGUUGAUCCAGAUCACCAGAAGCAUUAAGCAUAGGCAGACUGGGACUUAUCCCUCCAGUUUCUGAGUUAAUCAAUCUGGAAAAGGAGGCUGGACAAGAGUUGUAUAUUUACAGCAAGAUUCUGGGUAAUUCUGAUGCGAGAAUCACACCUAUAGACUUGUAAAAGCCUUGGUGAGUCCUCCAAGCCAGCUGACUCACACACCAGGCACUACGAAUGCAAACGCUCAUGUAGCAUCCCUGUGGACUCCCAGGACCUGCAGGUAGGGCCAAAUGUUUACUUAGGUCCAUAAACCUACCACUUAGUUAUUCUGUAUCUAAAAGAAACUAAAAGACAGGAACCCACAGAGGAAAAAUGCAGUCUAAUUUCCAGACCCAAGUCUCCCAAUGCCUGGGGGCUUCUGAUAAUUUCAGAAAAAUCCAGGAGACAAAGGCCAAAUCGUGUAUAUGUCUAACCAUCAAUGGGCCAAUCAGUCCUUUCUUUGGAUGACAGAGAAUCUGAGUUAUUGCCACUGUGCUACUAGUUUUUCAUUCUAUUCUGGGAUGAGAAAAAUUGGAUCCUAAAAAAAUCCCAACAUUUGGAUGAAAAAAAUAAUCUGGGGAGAUAGGGAUCCGGGUAUGAUAUCCUUACCCAUUCUGGACCUAGCAGAAUUCUUUUUCCUAAGUCCAUUCUUUUGAUGUAACUGAGAAACAGUUUACAGUCUGAUCCCUGAGUAGGGAGGAAAUAGAAGAGUCUUUCCUCAAGAUUUCUCCUCUCUCAUCAGGACUUAAGCAUGAGAAAAAGACCACAGAACAUACAAGGUCACUAAAUCCCAACCUUCUAUUCCACAUGUGUCCUCUGUUGCCAAGCACAAAAUGUAUUCUACACCAACAGGAAACAAAAGAGGAAACGGACCAUACCAAAAUACCCAGUGAGGACACAGGAGAAGGAUACUGUUUAUUUGCAGCUCUGGGGUGUUUUAAUCCAUACACAUAUGAAUUGUGUAUUCAGAAAGCCUGGUGACACCAAAGCUCUUCUUCUCUGGCCUCACUAAGCAGAGAUUAAGCAAUGGAAGACAAGAUGAGUUGAAUCCACAUUAUUCUGGUAGCUUUGCUCGUGUUCAUACAUAGGAGGAUAAGGGAGUCACAAGAACAAAAGUGGUGUUUCAUUUACAAGCGUUUUAAAAGAAUAAAUAAAUUAGAAUUGGGGACAUACGGUGCUCAACUUGCAGGAGUUAUCCUAUUCAAAAUAAAACAGGUUUCUGUCUAAGCCGUUCUCUUUGAGUCAGUUUGUCUUCCAAAACCGAACGUUUUUCUCGGCUGAAUUUUGAGGGGAUUAGUUAUUUUUAAAAAGAAAAAAAGAAAAGAAAAACCAACUCAAAAGCCGAAGUGCAAGUGUGCUUAGAGAGACACACAUAAGCUGUUCUCCAUAUUGAGUCAACACCUGGGGCAUUGAUUUGAAAGCCAAAUGCAGGCUGUUCACCUGCACUGCCAAGGAUAACAGAAGCAACUGUCUCACUGUCACCAGAGAGAAAGAACCACGUCACUGGGGCUCCAUCUGCAACCGCCUUUGAGGACCAAAGAUAACCAGGGAGGAAGGGGGUGGGGGGGCCGCUUUGUUGUGAAACCUGAAUUUCAACUUAAGAGUCUUCUUCUUUUUACAGAACACCUUUUCUAAUUUAAAGUGAUGCAGGGAUCUAGAGAUUCACCAAUUCUGAAGAUUGGGCAGACACAUGGACUGCAGCUGCAGAGGACCUCACCAUCAGAACGAGGAAGUCUCCUUUGAAAACUGGACUGUGCCUGUGGAGUGCGAUGGGAAGCCAGCCGGCUUGCCGGGCAGACUCCUAAGACUGAGCGAUUAAUUUACUGCUAUCGCCAACAUAUGACAAGGUCUGAAGCAAAAACUGACUUGCAGGAAGAUGAAGACAGGAAGAAUGUUUUCAGAGGGUGUAACAAAUAGAAACGUAAUCUUUUAUGGAGGGUUUUUAUAAGUGUUUUGCAUUGAAGGAUGGCCAGGAUUAGAGAAUGAUGAGACUCCCCUCGAGUUGCUAGACAAGUCACUCUGAGUCCCAGGAAAACAGAUUGUCACAGGAUGAAUAAGACGGAGAGUGGAGAAGUCACUGCCCACACAGCCUUCACUACAUAGCAGCAGUGAUGCAGGAGGAUGAUGAGUGAAUGGAUGCUGCAGUGUCCCCAAAAUGUACAGAGAGUAUCUCUGCGAAGUCACACAGGACAGUGUGACCAUUGUCACAGUGCUCAGAACUGGUUUGCUGUACUUUUUCCAAACAGCUGUGCUUAAUCAAAGAACUUUUGGGACCAGUCACUUGCGCUGUGAAAUUUUCUAGAAUGCUUUCACUAUUGUAAAGUUUCAAAAACUCAGGUGUGAAAAGUAAAAUUUCCCUGGCCAGGGUCCUACAUCUCCACUCGUGGGCUGAGGAUCGAGGCACAUUGUGUAAAUUUCCACAGUCUUUGUCCCUUGGCCCAACAUGUUUCCCCCUUUCUCUGAGAUGCUACCCUAGGUGUCCAGUGCACUUUAACUCAGCCCCUUUCAGAGAGGCUCAGGAGUCGGGACUGCCUAGUUCCACACCACACCCUCUGAAGCCCCAGGUCCUAUGAUUUUCCUUUCAGAUUUUCAAUACAUACGGCAUCUACCGAGGGAUGUGUGCAAUGGAGACCCCAUUGCUGUUCAGAGUGGCUCUUCCAGCCUCAGAAGAUGCUCAGUAUUCAUCAGGAAGCUCAGCCUCUUUCCAGAAACAUCUGCUGAUUCACCUCAGUACUUCUGUGCAGAGAAGACUAAAACAAACCUGGACACGUAGCAAAAGUCUCUGAAAACCUCAUCUUCCUGUCAGGCACUUAAUUCAUUUCUGCUUAUUCCACACAGCUCUAACACUGUAUGGUCCUCAAACUUUGAUGUUCUCACCUGUCUCCUUUCCUGUGCAAGCCAGAUUUGCUAACUUCUCUCUCCGAACAAGCUAAGAAACUGUAUACAUAGUCAAACUUA
Rattus norvegicus (Norway rat) is the source of this 9313-nucleotide non-coding RNA. NCBI's taxonomy places the organism in Eukaryota, Metazoa, Chordata, Mammalia, Rodentia, Muridae. The record is from RefSeq and is a predicted model, not a curated record.